GUGUCUAAACCCAGCCUGGCUCUGGGCUCUCGGUGGGCUCACUGUUAGCUCUGGGCAGAGGGUGAACCACUAAUAGCUCAUCUACAACCAGCUCUUUGAGAGUAUUUCCUAAAUUAGAAAAAACAUGCUUUUGGCAGCACAAAUUUGAUCUUUGAAGUGAACCACAUCCUAUAGAUAUGACAAAUGGGGAAUAAUUACAACUUCUCAAAGUCAAAAUUCAGUUAUUCUAAUAUAAAUGUAAUCCAUACUUUCAGGGCCAACAUUUCAAAAUUAGUCUUUAAAGUCUCUUUUGUUGUGUUUUUCAAGGUGCAAAACUCUUUGAAAGUCUCUGAAUACAAGCCCUAGAUACUGAGUUCAUCAUUCUAGAUAGUUUAUCCUCAUCUGUUCCAUGAAUGUUCACACUGCCUUGCUACUUAGCUAAUUAAAAACUUUCAUUAAGAACCUGAUAAAUGGAAGGUGAAAGAGUAUAGAGCAUUGGAAAAGACCCAUUCAAGGCAUUCAGAAGGUAUGAUGUAGUUGUGACUUUCAGUUAUAAUCCGCAAGUGCUCUACAAGGAGAAAGAGACUACUCCUUGGUGAAGUGGUGUAGGAAGUCUUCAAGGAGGAGAUGGGAGUUGUUCUGGAUAGGGUGAGUGGAUUUCAGGCAGGCCAAGUGAAACGGAGGCAUUCCAGGCAGUGUGAGGAAAGAUGGGGAGUAGGAAUGGGCAAAGCAUAUUUUGAGAAAAAGAUAGUUGAACCAUCAGACUAUAGUGGAGACUUUAUCACUCUUUCGCAAAGGGCCAUGUUGCCUUGAUCCUUUCAAGGGUUGACCUUGCAGAAGAGAAAGUUGAUUUCAACCAUCCAUCCAUUCAGGAAGAAAGAAAUUGAAUAUAGUAAGAUGCAGGUUCCAUGAAAGCAGGUUCCACGAAAGCAGGUUCCACUUCUGUUUUGUUUGUUGUUGUGUUCCCAGUGGCAGAGAACAGGCCCUCAGCAAAUAUUUGUUAAUUGAAAGAGCGAAUGAAUUGCAUUUAUUUAUCAUAUACAAGACUAUAUGCAAAUGCCAUGACUAGAAAGUAGCCCUGUAAGAGUUCAGAAGAAGUCAGUUUUUGAUAGCAGGAUUGGGAAGAAGAGAUGGAGUAGAAAAGGAACACUUGAGAGAAGUAGCAAUAAGCCAUAAGAUGGAGAGAGGGUACAAUUUUAUUUUUAAAAAUCUUUCUGAAAGUACUGAAUGAUUGGCUAGAUUGUUGGGGCAAAACAGGUGGGAGUGAGGAUGAGGAAGGCAAGAGCAGUCUAUUAAUAUUUGGUAGGAUAUUGAUAUUAAAAUUAAUAUCCUACUUCUUCCUACACUGGCCUGAUCAGUGCGGUUUUUUAGAGAUUAAAAAUAGAGGUUGGAGAAAUGAUUUUUGCCGUGGGAUUGAUUUCAUAUCUGUAUCUUAAAAGCAAUUCCAAGAGUAUCAUCUGAGCCAGCCUGAACUUCCUCUGCUACUAUUAUUCAAAUAAGGAUUUGAAUAAGCAGAAUUUGCUUCAGUGAGGAAACUGCCUGGGGCAUCAGCCUAGGAGAGGAAAUCACAUAUUUCUUGAAACAGCACUGAAUAUAGCCAUUCAGUAUCCAGAAGAAGGCCAUCCAUGUCAAAGAUGAGGUGGGUGAUGGGCUGCGGUGGGGGGUGGGGGUGCUCCCAUGGUGCUGCCUUCUCCGUCUGGGUGGGGGUGAGGAGCAAAGAGACCUCAUCUUUC
This 1712-nucleotide long non-coding RNA is filed under the name Homo sapiens (human). RNAcentral's name for it is "HSALNT0015240". The record is from RNAcentral. Lineage: Eukaryota; Metazoa; Chordata; Mammalia; Primates; Hominidae.